UACGUAGGGUGCGAGCGUUAAUCGGAAUUACUGGGCGUAAAGCGUGCGCAGGCGGUUGCAUAAGACAGAUGUGAAAUCCCCGGGCUCAACCUGGGAACUGCGUUUGUGACUGUGUAACUAGAGUACGGUAGAGGGGGGUGGAAUUCCUGGAGUAGCAGUGAAAUGCGUAGAUAUCAGGAGGAACAUCGAUGGCGAAGGCAGCCCCCUGGACCUGUACUGACGCUCAUGCACGAAAGCGUGGGGAGCAAACAGG
This 253-nucleotide ribosomal RNA is filed under the name uncultured bacterium. RNAcentral's name for it is "partial 16S ribosomal RNA". It matches the Rfam family "Bacterial small subunit ribosomal RNA", at positions 524 to 776 of the family's 1533-position model. The record is from RNAcentral.